This 74-nucleotide transfer RNA is filed under the name Atopobiaceae bacterium P1. Its description in RNAcentral is "tRNA-Gln". It matches the Rfam family "tRNA". From Rfam's summary of the family: Transfer RNA (tRNA) molecules are approximately 80 nucleotides in length. Their secondary structure includes four short double-helical elements and three loops (D, anti-codon, and T loops). The record is from RNAcentral. Lineage: Bacteria; Bacillati; Actinomycetota; Coriobacteriia; Coriobacteriales; Atopobiaceae. RNAcentral also lists the same sequence under 1 other name.
UUUCCGCUGGUCUAACGGCAAGACGUUGGAUUCUGGUUCCAAAGAUCGGGGUUCGGCUCCUCGGCGGAAAGCCA